CUGAGUUAGUUCCAAACUCAAUCCAUACUCCAAGAUUUAAUAUGCUAAAUAUUGAAAUUAUUUGCAUCAACUUAAAAAGAAAC
RNAcentral lists this long non-coding RNA (83 nucleotides) under Vulpes vulpes (red fox). RNAcentral describes it as "Deleted in lymphocytic leukemia 2 conserved region 2 (ENSVVUG00000028122.1)". It matches the Rfam family "Deleted in lymphocytic leukemia 2 conserved region 2". The record is from RNAcentral. Lineage: Eukaryota; Metazoa; Chordata; Mammalia; Carnivora; Canidae.